GAUUAACGCUGGCGGCAUGCCUAAUACAUGCAAGUCGAACGGAAGCAGCAAUGCUUUAGUGGCGAACGGGUGAGUAACACGUAGGGAACCUACCUAUACGACGAGGAUAACUACUGGAAACGGUAGCUAAAACUGGAUAGGAUCAAUUGAGGCAUCUUGAUUGAUUUAAAGAUCCUUCGGGAUUACGUAGAGAUGGCCCUGCGGCGCAUUAGCUAGUUGGUGAGGCAACGGCCCACCAAGGCGACGAUGCGUAGCUGAGCUGAGAGGCUAAACAGCCACACUGGGACUGAGACACGGCCCAGACUCCUACGGGAGGCAGCAGUAGGGAAUUUUCGGCAAUGGGGGAAACCCUGACCGAGCAAUGCCGCGUGAACGAUGAAGGUCUUCGGAUUGUAAAGUUCUGUGAUUGGGGAAGAAUGGUAUUCUUAGGGAAUGAGGAGUACAUGACGGUACCCGAUUAGAAAGCCCCGGCUAACCUAUGUGCCAGCAGCCGAC
This 495-nucleotide ribosomal RNA is filed under the name uncultured bacterium. RNAcentral describes it as "bacterial SSU rRNA". It matches the Rfam family "Bacterial small subunit ribosomal RNA", at positions 28 to 518 of the family's 1533-position model. The record is from RNAcentral.